This 64-nucleotide transfer RNA is filed under the name Rhinostomus barbirostris (bearded weevil). RNAcentral describes it as "tRNA-Glu". It matches the Rfam family "tRNA". From Rfam's summary of the family: Transfer RNA (tRNA) molecules are approximately 80 nucleotides in length. Their secondary structure includes four short double-helical elements and three loops (D, anti-codon, and T loops). The record is from RNAcentral. Lineage: Eukaryota; Metazoa; Arthropoda; Insecta; Coleoptera; Curculionidae.
AUUCCUGUAGUUUAAAAAAAACAUUACACUUUCAUUGUAAAAUUAAAGUCACCUUUCAGAAAUU